This is a long non-coding RNA of Biomphalaria glabrata, 373 nucleotides long. RefSeq lists it as uncharacterized. The transcript is spliced from 3 exons. NCBI's taxonomy places the organism in Eukaryota, Metazoa, Mollusca, Gastropoda, Planorbidae. The record is from RefSeq and is a predicted model, not a curated record.
AUCAUUGUUAAGGUUCUUUUCUUCGCUAAUAUACGUAUGUGUAUUUCAAUGCUGCAUACUAAAUGUAACAUAGUCAUGAACAAUACCCUAACGACACAAUGAAGAUUCCGAAUGCCAAUUCACAGACAAAUUCAACAGCGAGACGAUUCUUCUCACAUUUAAUGUGUUAAAAAAAAAAAAAAGGGAUUUCCUAAAGUACUUUCACCUUCACACCAUGACCUUUCAAGGGCUUUCUUCACUGACCUAAAAAAACUUGCAGACUGGAAGACGAUGUCGUUCAAGGGCUGAAGAAGACAUCUCGCGUCCAUGAAUACGCCCGCCCUCGUGGAUACUGCGCUCGGAGUAAUUUACCAUGCAUGCCAUCUCAGGCAGG